GAUGAAGAACGUAGCGAAAUGCGAUAAGUAAUGUGAAUUGCAGAAUUCAGUGAAUCAUCGAAUCUUUGAACGCACAUUGCGCCCGCCAGUAUUCUGGCGGGCAUGCCUGUUCGAGCGUCAUUUCAACCCUCAAGCCCAGCUUGGUGUUGGGGAUCGGCACAGGCGCCCUCGGGCGCCCGCCGUCCCCUAAAUCUAGUGGCGGUCCCGCUGCAGCCUCCUCUGCGUAGUAGUUUUCUCCUCGCAAGGGCAGCUCGGUGGCGACCUCGCCGUAAAACCCCCAACUUCUGAAAGGUUGACCUCGAAUCAGGUAGGAAUACCCGCUGAACUUAAGCAUAUCAAUAAGCGGAGUA
Molecule: unclassified non-coding RNA, 350 nt
Filed under: soil metagenome
Description: partial contains 5.8S ribosomal RNA, internal transcribed spacer 2, and large subunit ribosomal RNA
Rfam family: 5.8S ribosomal RNA (bases 1-120)
Source: RNAcentral